RNAcentral lists this ribosomal RNA (301 nucleotides) under uncultured bacterium. RNAcentral describes it as "partial 16S ribosomal RNA". It matches the Rfam family "Bacterial small subunit ribosomal RNA", at positions 509 to 807 of the family's 1533-position model. The record is from RNAcentral.
CAGUAGCCGCGGUAAUACAGAGGGUGCGAGCGUUAAUCGGAUUUACUGGGCGUAAAGCGUGCGUAGGCGGCUUUUUAAGUCGGAUGUGAAAUCCCUGAGCUUAACUUAGGAAUUGCAUUCGAUACUGGGAAGCUAGAGUAUGGGAGAGGAUGGUAGAAUUCCAGGUGUAGCGGUGAAAUGCGUAGAGAUCUGGAGGAAUACCGAUGGCGAAGGCAGCCAUCUGGCCUAAUACUAACGCUGAGGUACGAAAGCAUGGGGAGCAAACAGGAUUAGAUACCCCCGUAGUCCCUGUCUCUUAUAC